Molecule: long non-coding RNA, 243 nt
Filed under: Lathyrus oleraceus (garden pea)
Lineage: Eukaryota; Viridiplantae; Streptophyta; Magnoliopsida; Fabales; Fabaceae
Description: Pisum sativum (pea) long non-coding RNA (PSAT_LNC033924)
Source: RNAcentral
UCGAACCUAAACACACAUGACAUUGGUUCUUACUGAAUCAUAGGGUAUUAACAAGUCUUUCAUAUAAACUAAGAUUAUCACAUUAACAAUGGAAGUACAUACUAACUUUUGACUUGUAUCAUAUACAUGUUACUAGAAUAAUACUCAUAUCUAUGUGUCAUACCCUAAAUUUUCCAUCCCCAAAAUAUUUUCAUUUGCAUUUUGAUUCAUUCGUCUGCAUCGAUUCAUCUAUAUAUGCAUUUG